This 421-nucleotide long non-coding RNA is filed under the name Mytilus galloprovincialis (Mediterranean mussel). The record is from RNAcentral. Lineage: Eukaryota; Metazoa; Mollusca; Bivalvia; Mytilida; Mytilidae.
GUUGGGUCAAUCCAGUUUUCAUUUUAAUUAAUUUGAUAUCAAUAGAAGAAAAUUGUUACAUGUUUAUUUGUUUAUUUGUUUAUAAUUUUGUUGUGAGGCGUUUUUUCUUUCUGUUGAUAUCAUAAACACGAAAUGCCUUCUACGCGUCUAAAACAAAAACAAAACACAGUGUUUUUAAGUCAGGCUGCACACAGAACAAUGUACAGAAUGCUGUGAUUUCUAAUUGGAGUUAUUUAGAUAAUUUCUAUGAGGUUUAAGACAGCACAGGCGUGCUUGUUGGAUUCAUUAUAGACCGCAGAAAGUAGUUUCUCUUUCGUGUGUCCUUUCUUGGAGUAAGGGAGAUAACUUGCGUAACUAACGACGAACGUUUUUAAUCCCGUAUUCCGCUAGAGGCGUGCAAUUACGUACACUUCGCCUUAAC